AGAAAAAACAAUCAUAUUGAUUUCAUAACACAAUUAUCUAGUUUUGAGCCGAAGAUUCUAUUUUCUGUGCUCCUAUUUAGUUUUGAAAUCAAUAUGUUCUGUUUUUAAUUUUUCGUGCUCAAAUUUAGUCCAUUUUUAUUGUAUUAUUAAAACACAUUAUUUUUUUAUGUUAUUCUUGACAAUAUUAACCAAGAAACAAA
This 200-nucleotide unclassified non-coding RNA is filed under the name Gelidium pusillum. RNAcentral describes it as "partial ITS1". Lineage: Eukaryota; Rhodophyta; Florideophyceae; Gelidiales; Gelidiaceae. The record is from RNAcentral.